UACGGAGGAUGCAAGCGUUAUCCGGAAUGAUUGGGCGUAAAGCGUCCGCAGGUGGCAAUGUAAGUCUGCUGUUAAAGAGUCUAGCUCAACUAGAUACAAGCAGUGGAAACUACAUAGCUAGAGUACGUUCGGGGCAGAGGGAAUUCCUGGUGUAGCGGUGAAAUGCGUAGAGAUCAGGAAGAACACCGGUGGCGAAAGCGCUCUGCUAGGCCGCAACUGACACUCAUGGACGAAAGCUAGGGGAGCGAAUGGG
RNAcentral lists this ribosomal RNA (253 nucleotides) under uncultured bacterium. RNAcentral's name for it is "partial 16S ribosomal RNA". It matches the Rfam family "Bacterial small subunit ribosomal RNA", at positions 524 to 776 of the family's 1533-position model. The record is from RNAcentral.